This is an RNA transcript of Triticum aestivum (bread wheat), 4570 nucleotides long. RefSeq lists it as uncharacterized. Lineage: Eukaryota; Viridiplantae; Streptophyta; Magnoliopsida; Poales; Poaceae. The record is from RefSeq and is a predicted model, not a curated record. The transcript has 8 exons.
CCGCUGGCAGUCGUUGGGCCGUUCGUUCUGGUUGCACAUAGCCAAUUCCAUUAGGAGUCAAUGACAUGUGGGACUCAUUGAGUGUAGGCCCAAGCAAUGAAGUGAGUUUGUCUCCUGUUCUGGGUACGAGAAAACCCGACGUGCGGAGUGCGCGGUGAAAACCCUAGCCUCCAAUCCCCUUCCUCCCUCGAGCCCAGGCCUCCACCCACUCGCCUCUUUUCUCAUCCACCGCCUUGCACGUCCUCCUCCCCUUCACUUCUCAAGCCACGCCGCCAACCAUCUGCGCCCCACGACGACGGCGACUUUGCUGCCACCCCGGCGGCCGCGGGGCGCAGCUGGCCUUCAUGGGCCGCAUCAUCGCCACGCUCGACCGCAGCUACCGCUAGGGCCGCUCCCACGCGCUGCUCGAGUCGCCCGCCGGCACCGGCAGGUCGCUCUCCCUCCUUUGCGUCGCGCUGGCCUGGCAGCGCCACUGCCCAGCUCGGUACGCCCCAGCCGCCAACCCCCCUCCUCCACGACUACGCCUUCAUCCCUGGCAACACCCGGCAGCAGCCCACUACUGACAUUCCGGAGAAGGCGGCGGCUGCCAAGAAGAAGAAUGCGCCGACCAUCUACUACAUCACGUAAGAUCUGCUCUCAAAUGAACUGAAAUGAUGGGGCAAUCUUGCCAGCCAGGUUUCUUGGCUGCUUGUCUUGGAUCGAUUAGAUGAAUCCUGAUUGAUUUCAUUUCCCUUCAAAAAAUCCUGAUUAGUUUCUUGGUUCCAUUGUCUAUCGGUUGCCGGAGGACGCACUGUCAGAUAACCCAGGUGGUCAUGGAGCUGUGCAAGACGAUGGCCAUCUUGGCCUCAAGGAAGCACUAUUGCAUCAAUAAGACCGUAUGCAUGGCUAAGCCAAUUGACGAGGAAUUGUGACAUACAAGACACAUAUAUUUACUAAUCAUUUGGGUUCUUCAUUGUAAACCAUUUAGUGAGACCUUUUCUCCAUCAGCAAGAAGCUUCUAGAUGACAAAGUUCAAGGAUGCCCAGAAUUCAAAAACUGAGUCAUCGUCCAUCCCUUCGGACCGAUGGCUGCUAUGAAGUUCCUGAUAUUGAGGAUCUUCCUAGGGCCGGAACACAAGUCAAAGGUUUAUCUAUCUCUUUGUUUACAUAGAUUUUCCAUGAAUCCUGAGGCACACACUAUGCCACCACUGAAUUUUGAAAUCUAUUCUAAUGCCACCUUUCUUUUUAGUUAUUUAUAGGAUGUCCAUAUUUUGCUGCACAAACCAUGCAUGGCAAAAGCAGCACAAUUGAUUUUCUGCCCAUAUAGCAACCUAAUUAGUCCAAUUGUCAGGAGAGCAAUGGACAUUGAUAUCAUUGGCUCAAUUGUUAUUCUUGAUGAAGCGCAGUAAGCCCCUGAGUCUGCAGACUCAUGAUUCUUUUUCAGUGUCAUUCAAUGGUUUCCUUAGUUGCAAGACAAUGGCUCCCUAUGUUACCGAUCCGGUGUUGCUGUGCGUGAGGACGGACAUGGGGAAGGUGCAACAAGGCAGCGCUCAAGUUGCAGUGGAGUGGAGUCGACCAUCACUACUGACCGCUGCUCGGCGAUCCUCGCCCCUCACCCCCCAUCUAGAUGUGGUUAGGAACUAAAUCGACAAGCAUCGAUAUUUUUGUUAGGAAGGAGCGCUAGGAGCCUAGGAGUGGAACACGAUUUCCUCGAAUCUAGCCGAGGCCUCUGCUUUUGUCGUCAUCUUCCAUCGGUCCAAGCUGCUACUGUUCGCUCCGUCGGCUUGCAGUUGCUUCUGGAGCGUGCUUCAGAUUCAUUGUGCCUCCUUCCAAUAUAAAUGUUUGUGUUGAAGUGGUAGCCAAGACAAACGCAGUAAUCGAAUCAAGAAAUUAGAUGAUAGGACCGAAGAUUGGGGACAAAAUAACUCAAACCAACAGACCAACCAUGAGGGUUCUAUAUAUACGACAAAUGAGUAGUUGACAAAAUGAGGUGAGAUGACAGGUAAAUCAGAACUAGUGGAGAAUAAUGCAUAAAAAUGUAACUUGGGAAUAAUGAAAGAAUGAUGAAGAUAUAUUAUCUUGGAAUCUCAAAGACAUUUACAAUUGCUGCAUGCAGAAAAGUUCAUUUCAUAACAGUAUGAAUAAUGUCAAACAUUUGUUGCCAUCAUUAAUCAGAUAAAAAAAUUAUACCUCCAGGACGGGAUAAAACCGGGACAAUAUCUAUGUUGAUUCUUCCCCUAUUCGCCCUUUUCUGAUACCACGUUUUUUCUGAAAAUUGUAGAAUCGAGUGAAUAACUUGUACUGUAAUAUAAGUAUUUAAAGGCUAUAUGUUUGGAAGAACUAAUACACAUGUAAAAUAACGCAACGGGUUACUUUACGUAUUUCAAAUUUCAUUAUAACAUAGGCAACACAUAUUAUUCACUGCGAUCAUAUCAUCGGCAGAUAAUCUGGCCAACUGGGAAAAAGAUCUCUUACUGAAUUAGUUAUAAAACAACAAAUUAACAACUGACUGAUUGUAGAACUGAAGCAACAAGCCUCUAAUGCAGAAAUUCUUAGAAAUAGUGUACUGUACAUUAUUGCCAGUUUUUAUAUUCAAUUGUCAUAUCUGAAUGUAGUAUGCUUAAAAUUUUGCAUAUGCUACCUGAUUAGUUAGUGUAGACAUGAGAGGCCUGCACUUCUUGUUCCAUUUUAGCUCUUGAGAAUCACAUGAGACUGAACUCCUCUUCAAUAAUAACUUCUCCAACAUCCUUUUUUAUGAAGGAAUACAUCAUCUUCGAGAAGAUAUUGUACCAUGUUAACUCUUAGAUUCACUCACAACCAAAAGCAACAAUCUAGAGCAAAAUAAUACUCAGUUAAAUCAGCUUAUCUAACAAAGCCCAAUAACAGAACAACUUAUGAAGUGACUUGAAAGGGAACAUUCAUGGUGAUUUCUCAGUGAGGGACACAUUGUGAAGCUGUCCACAAUAUGUGCGAUUGCUAUUAGUGCCAAAGGUUAUGUUGGUUGAUGAGCUUGAAAUUGUGCUCCAUAGAAAAGGGUUGGCCCCUGCACUUGCUUCAUUUGCUUUAGGCACAGGUUGCGGUGGGGUGUCAGCUUGCUUCCCAUAAUGUCUUUUACUGACAGCAGUUCCUUUGGUACCAGUUCUUUCAUUCUUGAAAGAAACUAACCUUCUUCUCUUUGGCAUAGGUGCUAAGAAAACUUGAGCUUCAUGAUUUGCUCUUGGAUCAAACUGAAAAUUAAUUUCAGUUGAAGAAUUAGUAGCAUGUAUCCUCUGAUUACCAACAGGGAAGAACUGCUCCAGUCGAAGAGCAGACAUUAUUCAUUGUGCCAACAGACUGCCUGGAAAGGAAGAAAUCAUAUGAAGUACAUCAGCACCCAUCUUAUCACCAGUUGGGGGAUUGUUUUUUCUCUCCUCGUCAACAAAGCUUGCAUCAGGCGGUCGGGUCGGAGAGAGAGACUUACCUGGAGCUGUACAAUCACACAGGAGAGGGUGGAGGGGCUCAUGGCGGCGGCGAGGCAACAGGAGGAGGGAGGGGCCCGGUGUCGCCGACGAGCAUGCCAAGCUCGAGCGCCUCCUCGAGCACUUAGGCGACUGGAUUCGAAGAAGGAGCAGGGCAGAGGAGAGGCGUGGAGUCCUGCGCCUCCACGUCCGCCUCCGAUGGAGCCUAGAGCGCGCUGGCGCGAGCAUGCCGAGCUCGAGGGCCUUCUCGGCCACUUCUGCGGCCAGAUUCAACAUGAGGAGGGGGGAUCAGUGGCUGUGAAUCUCGCUGACCGCCGGCUAUGGAGGGAGGGAGCUGGUGAUGGGAGAAAUGGGGAAUGGGGGAGAUGUGACGGGCGGUGGAGAGGAUGACUGCUGGUUUUUCAGUACUACUGUAUUAGGAAGUGACAAGAGCUUGUCAAUUAGUGGGAAUGGAUUCGUAGGCGGUGGGAAUGGAUUCUGGACGGCUGGACCCAAACAAAUUUUCUUUAUCUUCUACAAAUAAAAAGAAUCGAUUAUUUCUUCCAAACAAUCCAUUAUAUUUUAUCAGACGUGCCUCAUUCACCUGUGUGGGUGCGAUUUUUCUUUUUUCAGGGCUUGUUACAGUCAUGACCAUUUGAUAACUUUAAAACUAUAUUAUAUAACUAUCUAUAAAAAUGAUAAAAGAAAUUAUGUAAUAUGUUUAAGUUCCGUAAUUAUGUAAGUUAUCUUGCGGUCCAUGGACGUUAAAUUUUAAGGAAUACUUCACUGGAGGUAUUUUGUUUGACACUUCUACACAAGUAUUUUUUGUUGUGUAUCAUUAACUUAUUUUAUGUUGUAUCAUUAUUUCAAAACUAACUCUGGCUAUUACUUUACAGGAUCAUAUGCCAGAUUUCAGAACAAAACUAGCUAUCAUUUAGUGGACUCGAGAUUGAAUGGCGAUGAUAUAAAAAACUGAGACUUGAAGAUGACAGAAACAACACAAAUUCCAACGGAUUGUAUGAUUCUGGAUAGACCUCUAAGAACAUGGAGACAACAUAGAUCUCACUGUUUAUUUAUUUAUCUAAGGACGUUAAAUUUGUUACCAUAUGUGUUUACCCACAACCAAAUCAAGUAAAUUAUGGAUUUUCUUUUCAA